UAAACUUUGAUGAGGAUUGGGGAUCAGUGG
This 30-nucleotide non-coding RNA is filed under the name Mus musculus (house mouse). The record is from RNAcentral. Lineage: Eukaryota; Metazoa; Chordata; Mammalia; Rodentia; Muridae.